RNAcentral lists this ribosomal RNA (1256 nucleotides) under Lactiplantibacillus plantarum. Its description in RNAcentral is "bacterial SSU rRNA". It matches the Rfam family "Bacterial small subunit ribosomal RNA", at positions 64 to 1308 of the family's 1533-position model. The record is from RNAcentral. Lineage: Bacteria; Bacillati; Bacillota; Bacilli; Lactobacillales; Lactobacillaceae.
GUGCUUGCAUCAUGAUUUACAUUUGAGUGAGUGGCGAACUGGUGAGUAACACGUGGGAAACCUGCCCAGAAGCGGGGGAUAACACCUGGAAACAGAUGCUAAUACCGCAUAACAACUUGGACCGCAUGGUCCGAGUUUGAAAGAUGGCUUCGGCUAUCACUUUUGGAUGGUCCCGCGGCGUAUUAGCUAGAUGGUGGGGUAACGGCUCACCAUGGCAAUGAUACGUAGCCGACCUGAGAGGGUAAUCGGCCACAUUGGGACUGAGACACGGCCCAAACUCCUACGGGAGGCAGCAGUAGGGAAUCUUCCACAAUGGACGAAAGUCUGAUGGAGCAACGCCGCGUGAGUGAAGAAGGGUUUCGGCUCGUAAAACUCUGUUGUUAAAGAAGAACAUAUCUGAGAGUAACUGUUCAGGUAUUGACGGUAUUUAACCAGAAAGCCACGGCUAACUACGUGCCAGCAGCCGCGGUAAUACGUAGGUGGCAAGCGUUGUCCGGAUUUAUUGGGCGUAAAGCGAGCGCAGGCGGUUUUUUAAGUCUGAUGUGAAAGCCUUCGGCUCAACCGAAGAAGUGCAUCGGAAACUGGGAAACUUGAGUGCAGAAGAGGACAGUGGAACUCCAUGUGUAGCGGUGAAAUGCGUAGAUAUAUGGAAGAACACCAGUGGCGAAGGCGGCUGUCUGGUCUGUAACUGACGCUGAGGCUCGAAAGUAUGGGUAGCAAACAGGAUUAGAUACCCUGGUAGUCCAUACCGUAAACGAUGAAUGCUAAGUGUUGGAGGGUUUCCGCCCUUCAGUGCUGCAGCUAACGCAUUAAGCAUUCCGCCUGGGGAGUACGGCCGCAAGGCUGAAACUCAAAGGAAUUGACGGGGGCCCGCACAAGCGGUGGAGCAUGUGGUUUAAUUCGAAGCUACGCGAAGAACCUUACCAGGUCUUGACAUACUAUGCAAAUCUAAGAGAUUAGACGUUCCCUUCGGGGACAUGGAUACAGGUGGUGCAUGGUUGUCGUCAGCUCGUGUCGUGAGAUGUUGGGUUAAGUCCCGCAACGAGCGCAACCCUUAUUAUCAGUUGCCAGCAUUAAGUUGGGCACUCUGGUGAGACUGCCGGUGACAAACCGGAGGAAGGUGGGGAUGACGUCAAAUCAUCAUGCCCCUUAUGACCUGGGCUACACACGUGCUACAAUGGAUGGUACAACGAGUUGCGAACUCGCGAGAGUAAGCUAAUCUCUUAAAGCCAUUCUCAGUUCGGAUUGUAGGCUGC